AUUGAACGCUGGCGGCAUGCCUUACACAUGCAAGUCGAACGGCAGCACGGGUGCUUGCACCUGGUGGCGAGUGGCGAACGGGUGAGUAAUACAUCGGAACGUACCUUAUCGUGGGGGAUAACGCAGCGAAAGCUGUGCUAAUACCGCAUACGCCCUGAGGGGGAAAGCGGGGGAUCGCAAGACCUCGCGCGAUUAGAGCGGCCGCUGCCUGAUUAGCUAGUUGGUGGGGUAAAAGCCCACCAAGGCGACGAUCAGUAGCUGGUCUGAGAGGACGAUCAGCCACACUGGGACGGCGACACGGCCCAGACUCCUACGGGAGGCAGCAGUGGGGAAUUUGGGACAAUGGGGGCAACCCUGAUCCAGCAAUGCCGCGUGAGUGAAGAAGGCCUUCGGGUUGUAAAGCUCUUUUGUCAGGGAAGAAACACCGGCUCUAACACAGUCCGGGAAUGACGGUACCUGAAGAAUAAGCACCGGCUAACUACGUGCCAGCCGCCGCAGUAA
RNAcentral lists this ribosomal RNA (501 nucleotides) under uncultured bacterium. RNAcentral's name for it is "partial 16S ribosomal RNA". It matches the Rfam family "Bacterial small subunit ribosomal RNA", at positions 29 to 523 of the family's 1533-position model. The record is from RNAcentral.